Molecule: non-coding RNA, 882 nt
Organism: Odocoileus virginianus texanus
Lineage: Eukaryota; Metazoa; Chordata; Mammalia; Artiodactyla; Cervidae
Source: RefSeq, a predicted model, not a curated record
UUUUUAGUAUUUGAGGAACAUUUAUACUGUUUCCUGUAGUGUCUGUUGCGAAUUACAUUUCCACCAACAAUGGGGGAGGGUUCCCUUUUCUCCAUAUCCUCAUCAAAAUUCGUUAUUUGCAUACCUCACUGUGUUUUGUUUUUUUCUUUUUAAAUCUGCAUUUCUGUGAUGAUUAGUGAUGCCGAGCACCUUUCCGUGUGCUGCUAUUGAGUUUUUCUAAACUGAUCAAUACAAGUAUAAAUCGUAACAUCUGUCUAAUUUCUUUUAUGUUUCCCCCACUUAGAUGUGGGUCUAGGCCCUUUCCUUUAACAAGAGUUGAUACAGGGUGACAAGGCCUUACUUAUCACAGACAGAUGUCCUGGAAAUAGCACUGGGUAAUGUCCACAGUUAAGCCUGAAAAAGCCAGAAGCCACUCAGGUCAAUCUCCUGUUGGAGCCCUCCACCACUAAGAAUGAGCUCUGCAGUCCUGCCUGCUGGGGUGAAGCCCAGGCCUCAUGGGGAGGCUUCCUGAAGCUCCUCCAUCAAACCCAGGUUCAGCUGCAGACGUGGCAGUGACGUCACCUCCACAGGAGUCCAGCUUCUUGUGUUAGUGUCAGCCCCAACUGUCAUAUCUCAGUUGGAUAAUCCUUGGAAAAAAAUAUGACACCGUCUUAAUUGCUGGUUUACUUCAUCAAGGGCCCGCUUAACCUGUGAGCAGAUGUCUGGGGUGAGCGGAGUCAGCAGUGGAGGGCCUCCCUGCUGGCUCACACAGUGAAGAACCUUCCUGCAGGGCCAGAGACACAGUGACAAGGAUUUGUACUAAACCCGGGCUUUCCAGAUGGCUCAGUGGUAAAGAAUCCACCUGCCAACGCAGGAGACAAGUAGACAAGAGUUCCAUCCCUG